RNAcentral lists this long non-coding RNA (1240 nucleotides) under Cairina moschata (Muscovy duck). Its description in RNAcentral is "domestica (muscovy Duck (domestic type)) lncRNA (ENSCMMG00000000347.1)". Lineage: Eukaryota; Metazoa; Chordata; Aves; Anseriformes; Anatidae. The record is from RNAcentral.
CUCAUACAUUAUUUUCAAAAUAUAAAAUCUCUAGGAUUCUUUAGAAAGCUAAAAAAAAAAAAAUCAUUUUUAUUUGAAUACAAAAAAAAAAAAAGUUAAAAAAUGCUUCCGGCAACUUUACGGUCACAGUCAAGAGUCAACAAGGCUAACUAUUAUCCAAGAGCUCAGUGGUGCAAGAUCUCUUUGAACAGUUUUCUCCUGACAUUUCUGACCACCUCAGGGGGCAACCACUCAUAUAAACAACCUAACGACUUGAGAGAUCAAGAUUUAGACAACUUACCACUCACUGACAUUUAGACUUCCAACUUGAUCUAUGCCAACUGCUGUCUGAGACGCUGACUUCUGAGCAUGUCAAGGCUGCAAGCUGGCACGGACAAUGACCAAGGUCCUCCUCUCGCUUAUGCAGACUCAGGCCUGCUCCUGCUAGGGUGUCAGACUUCUGUACAGUAUAAACCAGCACGGUUUAAUUUGCACCAGUUGAGAAACAGCCCAGAAUUUAAAGUAGAACAUGGGAAACCAGCCAGAAGUGCUGCAGGGAGCCUAAAUUUCAUCUAAAGAAAAUGAAAUAGGGCAUCCAUAUGUCAUACAUUGAGAUGCUGAAAUGAUGGAAGUAGUAAAAUGAGAAGAAUUUGCUUCAAAAAUAAAGUUUACACUUCCUAAUUAUUGAACACAAGCAGCAUUAAACUGGGGACUUGCAUGAAAUAGGAAGAACUGUAAGAAAAGCAUUAAAAUCUAAUGCAAAAUGCUGUCAUGACAAACCUCUCUGUUUUGAAGCAGUAAAGCCCUGGUGCAGCAGAACCCUUUGAGUUGCCCUGGUGGCCAGGCAAGUGACCGUACCAGGGCCCUGUAAACCCACAAGCAGUGUCAGGCCGGCAGAGGCCUCUACCUGCUCCUCCACCAUUUUCCUCCGGGCUGACGGAAGAGGGCCCAAUGCUGCCAAGAUUUCGGAUCAGGCAUUUCGGAUUGAAAUGAGCUGGAUUCGCCUCUCACGAGUGACAUUGGCAGAAGGAGCCCAAAGCUGCCCAGAGGAUGGCGGCACUCGCCAAUGACCGCCAGCACAGGGGGGAAGACCCCGCUACGCGCCGCAACGUGUGACGUACCUAUAGAGGCUCGCCAGCCAUUGAAGCUCCGUGUGCUCUGGGGCAUGCCUAACAAAGGACUUCAAAGCUUUCAAAAAGCUGAAUUUCUCGGCGAUUAUCCGAACCAAAUUUCAGAAUCUUUUGAAGAUGGUUUGUCUCUG